ACGGAGGAUCCAAGCGUUAUCCGGAAUUAUUGGGUUUAAAGGGUCCGUAGGUGGACAAUUAAGUCAGAGGUGAAAUCCUGCAGCUCAACUGUAGAAUUGCCUUUGAAACUGGUUGUCUUGAGUCAUUAUGAAGUGGUUAGAAUGUGUAGUGUAGCGGUGAAAUGCAUAGAUAUUACACAGAAUACCAAUUGCGAAGGCAGAUCACUAAUAAUGUACUGACACUGAUGGACGAAAGCGUGGGUAGCGAACAGG
RNAcentral lists this ribosomal RNA (252 nucleotides) under uncultured bacterium. RNAcentral describes it as "partial 16S ribosomal RNA". It matches the Rfam family "Bacterial small subunit ribosomal RNA", at positions 525 to 776 of the family's 1533-position model. The record is from RNAcentral.